RNAcentral lists this ribosomal RNA (228 nucleotides) under uncultured bacterium. RNAcentral describes it as "partial 16S ribosomal RNA". It matches the Rfam family "Bacterial small subunit ribosomal RNA", at positions 30 to 264 of the family's 1533-position model. The record is from RNAcentral.
UUGAACGCUGGCGGCAUGCCUUACACAUGCAAGUCGAACGGUAGAGGGGCAACCCUUGAGAGUGGCGAACGGGUGAGUAAUAUAUCGGAACGUGCCCAGUCGUGGGGGAUAACGCAGCGAAAGCUGCGCUAAUACCGCAUACGAUCUAUGGAUGAAAGCGGGGGAUCGCAAAGACCUCGCGCGAUUGGAGCGGCCGAUAUCAGAUUAGGUAGUUGGUGGGGUAAAAGC